Molecule: ribosomal RNA, 511 nt
Filed under: uncultured bacterium
Lineage: Bacteria
Description: partial 16S ribosomal RNA
Rfam family: Bacterial small subunit ribosomal RNA
Source: RNAcentral
GAUGAACGCUGGCGGCGUGCCUAAUACAUGCAAGUCGAACGAAACUUCUUUAUCACCGAGUGCUUGCACUCACCGAUAAAGAGUUGAGUGGCGAACGGGUGAGUAACACGUGGGCAACCUGCCCAAAAGAGGGGGAUAACACUUGGAAACAGGUGCUAAUACCGCAUAACCAUAGUUACCGCAUGGUAACUAUGUAAAGGUGGCUAUACUACCGCUUUUGGAUGGGCCCGCGGCGCAUUAGCUAGUUGGUAGGGUAAAGGCUUACCAAGGCAAUGAUGCGUAGCCGAAUUGAGAGGUUGAUCGGCCACAUUGGGACUGAGACACGGCCCAAACUCCUACGGGAGGCAGCAGUAGGGAAUCUUCCACAAUGGGCGAAAGCCUGAUGGAGCAACGCCGCGUGGGUGAAGAAGGUCUUCGGAUCGUAAAACCCUGUUGUUAGAGAAGAAAGUGCGUGAGAGUAACUGUUCACGUUUCGACGGUAUCUAACCAGAAAGCCACGGCUAACUACGUG